AUGGGGAACGUGAGAUCUCUCGCCAACAAGAUCGACGAGCUCGCGGCGCUCACACGGUACCAGCCGGAGUACAGAACGAGCAGCGUCCUGCUGUUCACGGAGACCUGGCUGACGUCACUCAUCCCGGACUCGACUGUCGCACUGGACAAUUUUCAUCUGCUACGUGCGGACAGAACGGAGAACAGCGGUAAGAGGAAGGGAGGGGGUCUGGCUGUGUUUGUGAACAUCAGGUGGUGUAUGCCACGACACUGCACUGUCAAAAUGAAGCUGUGUAACAGGGACAUUGAGCUUUUAGCGGUGGGCAUGAGGCCAUUCUACCUGCCACGGGAGUUCACACGCGUUAUAAUAAUUGCUGUGUACGUCCCACCCUCCGCUAACGCUGACACAGCUUCUGAGACCCUGCUCUCAGUCACCAGCAGGCUGCAAACACAGCACCCACAGGCCCUCUUCCUGAUCUCUGGGGACUUUAACCAUGCACCUCCUUCAGCUGCUCUGCCUACAUACACCCAGUAUGUGACCUGCCCCACCAGAGACAAUAAAACACUGGACUUAUUCUAUGCCAACACCAAAGAGGCCUACACUGCAUCCUGCCUCCCACCACUGGGCAGAGCUGACCACAACAUCCUGCAUCUCCUGCCUGUGUAUAAACCUGUUGUACACAGGCAGCCGGUGGUGCCCCGCACAGUGAAGAGGUGGACAGCUGAGAGCGAGGAGGCUCUCAGGGACUGUUUUAACACCACUGUGUGGACGGAGCUCUGCGACCCACAUGGGGAGGACAUUAACGCAAUAACAGACUGUGUAACGGACUACAUAAACUUCUGCUGUGAAAACACUGUUCCCACCAGGCGGGUUCGGUGUUUCACUAACAGCAAGCCAUGGGUCACCCCUGAUAUUAAAGCUCUGCUAAAGGAGAAGAAGAGAGCAUUUAAAUCAGAGGACAGGGAGGAGCUGAGGAGGGUGCAGAAGGAGCUGAGGAGGAAAAUCCAUGGACCUGCUGAUGUCCUGUCAUGCCUAGUUCACCUUUGUUUCCUACCAUGUGAUCACCAGCUGUGUCCCAUCAUCAAUCACCUCCCUUCAUUUAAGCACCUGCACGUCCCUUUGUUCUCUGUCAGUUAG
This 1116-nucleotide long non-coding RNA is filed under the name Betta splendens (Siamese fighting fish). RNAcentral's name for it is "lncRNA (ENSBSLG00000023804.1)". Lineage: Eukaryota; Metazoa; Chordata; Actinopteri; Anabantiformes; Osphronemidae. The record is from RNAcentral.